This 222-nucleotide long non-coding RNA is filed under the name Vigna radiata. RNAcentral's name for it is "long non-coding RNA (VRAD_LNC004617)". The record is from RNAcentral. Lineage: Eukaryota; Viridiplantae; Streptophyta; Magnoliopsida; Fabales; Fabaceae.
UGAGAUAGCACUACUGCUGCAAUUGAACCGAUUAAUCGGUUUAUUUUGAGUCUCCUCUCCAUUUUAGGGUUUCUUCAUGUUCAGUUCGUGUUUUCACCGAUUGAUUUGAGGUUUAGGGUUUCUCAGUGUCUGAUUAGGUUUUUCUAACAUUAUUUUCUUUGUUAUUUUUGUUAUUCCGCUGCAUUCUUCAUUCAGAACCGCUUCGAGGAACCUCUGGAUCGA